CUUAACAAACAGACCGUGAACAUGUCAUCCAUCCCGCACGUGGUUCUACCCGUGCAAGGCCCCCGACCUUUCCGAAGGAGAGGGGCCGCAAAAGAACCCACGGCGCCGAAGGCGUCAAGGAAAACUGAUAUUGCCUUGCUCGGGGCUGUGCUCGGCUUGCCGAGCACACCUCGUGCAGCGAUGCUAUCUUAAUCCACACGACUCUCGGCAACGGAUAUCUCGGCUCUCGCAUCGAUGAAGAACGUAGCAAAAUGCGAUACCUGGUGUGAAUUGCAGAAUCCCGCGAACCAUCGAGUUUUUGAACGCAAGUUGCGCCCGAGGCCUUCUGGUUGAGGGCACGCCUGCCUGGGCGUCACGCCAAAAGACACUCCCAACCCAAACCUGGGGAAGGACGUGGUGUUUGGCUCCCCGUGCUGCAAGGCGCGGUGGGCCGAAGUUUGGGCUGCCGGCAUAACUUGUCGGGCACCGCACGUGGUGGGCGACAUCUAGUUGUUCUCGGUGCAGUGUCCUGGCAUGCAGCUGGCUUAUUGGCCUCAAGGACCCAUACACGACCGAAGCGUUUAGGCGCUCGGACCGCGACCCCAGGUCAGACGGGACUACCCGCUGAGUUUAAGCAUAUCAAUAA
This 625-nucleotide ribosomal RNA is filed under the name Setaria italica (foxtail millet). RNAcentral's name for it is "eukaryotic LSU rRNA". The stretch from base 200 to 355 matches the Rfam family "5.8S ribosomal RNA". The record is from RNAcentral. Lineage: Eukaryota; Viridiplantae; Streptophyta; Magnoliopsida; Poales; Poaceae.